AGAAAAAUUGAUCUCAAGAGUUUGACCCACUUACGCCUAGUGUUCCAUUAUUGGAAUGCUAAGCAUGUGGGAGUUAUUUAUAUCCUACUGCUCAAGAUCAUCACCAAGAUCUGAUUGCAAAAAUUGCAACCUCAGGCAUAAAUGGGUCAAGGUGGUAAUCACAUACUCCUUAGAGAGUGAGCUACUCCCUGAAAUUGCUGGCAAAACCCUGUGUUUAUGUACAUAUGUGUGCUUUUCCCACCUUAGGGAUAGAGUUUAUCUCUUUCAACAGGUUUUCAACAGCUUAAAAACCACUACCAUGGGCGGACAUGGCAGCCCAUGCAAAGUCACAAAGGUGUAAUGUAGAGAACAGCACACUCAUGGGGUCAACAGUGAGAUCAAUGAGAACACAGAACAGAUUUCUAUGGAGGACAGUGGGAAAUGAAGCUAAAUAAAUGUCACCCAACAUCAGAGGGAGCACCCAGGACGGGGGGUGGGGCAGAGGUCUGAGGCUGAUUCAAUACAGCAUAAAGGACUAAUUAGUACAAGUAUAGUGAACAACAUCAAGUUAAACAGAUGUGGACUUUGCUCUCAGGUGGCUACUCCAUCAAAUGCAGUUGGUGGACAGGCAAGAAGAACCCAGUUAGCCUGCAGAGAGGCUGUGGGUUGGCAGUUCAUUGUGUUAAGAAUAGAAGGGCUGACCAGAUGGUCAACUCUUUUUUUUAAUCUUUGCUUUUUAAAAAUUGAUCCAAAUAUUUGUACUUAUUUAUGGGGUAGCUAUUAUAUUUCGUUACAUGCAUAGACUGUGUAAUGGUCACAUCGGAGUAUUUGAAGUGUCCAUAACCAUUAGUCUUUAUCAUUUCUAUGUGUGGAACAUCUCAGGUCCUCUCUUCUAGGUAUUUUGAAAUACACAAUACCUUGUUAACUAUAGCAAAUAACCAGCUCUUUAAUCAUUCCUUGGUCAAAUCUCCAUUUCAUAUACCCCUCCAAACCAAAACAACAUUGACUAAAUCUGCCUCUGGCCCUGUGAAAGGCCAGCCAAACAGCAAGAGGCCAGCACAAGACAUAGCUUCCUCUUCUAGAGCUGAGAAUUCACUUUUGAUUGUACUGUGGGGCACAUAGAACAACAUCGAACUCCCAGGUGAUGGGAGGGAGAGUUCCUAGGACUAGGGAAACAGGGCCUAUGGAUGUGAGGUGUGUGAGGAGGUGGGGUGGGGAGGUAAUGGUUUUCACUGGAUUCCUUUUUAUAUUUUAUUUAGAUUAAGUUCUGCUCAGCAGGGUGAUUUCUUAAUUAGAGCUGCCCAGCCAAGCAGACCUCCAGCUCAAACCCCUGUGCUGCCUUCUAAGGUUUCAUGAGGGACCUUGUCCUGCCUUAUUUCCUGAGUUCUAAUAUUUGAAUAGUAUGCAGUGGAUUUCAAUGGGAGGAAAAGACAUGUAAUUUAAUCAUUGUUAUUAGAUUUUGCCUGUGGAUGGGGAGAGGAGGGGGAAGCAGGAGGGACAUGGGUCCUUUCUUUGUUAAUUUUCUUUUUCUUUUUCUCUACCUUUCUUCCAGUGGUCAAAGGAAGAGGAGGAUCAAUGGCCUUUUUUCCUCCCCCCAACCUUUUUUUUUUUUUUUUUUUUUAAACAAAGAAGCAAAGUGAGAACAUUAAGCCCGAAAGAGAACUGUGUUCAUUGCAGGACUUUUUGAGGUCUGGUUAAGCCAUUUAUAUAAAGAAAUUACACAGUUCCUCUUUGGUAACCUCAAUCCUGAAAGUUAGUGUGACAGGCCUACAGCUUUUUGUUCUCUUCAUCACUCCAGAAGUUGCAGACUGCGCUCAGCAAGACCUCACAACAUGGAGGAAAAUUAAAGAGAUAAGUGGUCCAUGGAGUAUCCCCUUACCCCACCAUAAAUUGGCAUAAUUUUGUGCACAAUCCAGGGAGAAGAAAAAGAAGACCAGAAGCUUGCAAACCAUUCGAGAGAAGGAAGGGAGCUUUGUCAUGUUGCCAUCUGAGGGACCAUUUCAGUAGAGCCUUUUAAGACACAUGUUUUGGAAUACAGUCAAAUGCGUGCUGCUGUAUGACCAGCCUAUUUG
This 2051-nucleotide long non-coding RNA is filed under the name Homo sapiens (human). RNAcentral describes it as "non-protein coding lnc-SLC39A11-10:50". The record is from RNAcentral. Lineage: Eukaryota; Metazoa; Chordata; Mammalia; Primates; Hominidae.